RNAcentral lists this unclassified non-coding RNA (492 nucleotides) under Mucor plasmaticus. RNAcentral's name for it is "sequence contains 18S rRNA gene, ITS1, 5.8S rRNA gene, ITS2, 28S rRNA gene". The stretch from base 131 to 283 matches the Rfam family "5.8S ribosomal RNA". The record is from RNAcentral. Lineage: Eukaryota; Fungi; Mucoromycota; Mucoromycetes; Mucorales; Mucoraceae.
UUUUUUUUUUUUUAUAAGAAAAGACCCGAGUCGUGGUCAAGCUUAGGCUUGGUGUCCAAUUUAUUAUAUAUUUUUUCCAAAAGAAUUCAUUUUAAAAUUAUUUUAAUAUGGCUUAAAAAACCAUUAAAACAACUUUUAACAACGGAUCUCUUGGUUCUCGCAUCGAUGAAGAACGUAGCAAAGUGCGAUAACUAGUGUGAAUUGCAUAUUCAGUGAAUCAUCGAGUCUUUGAACGCAACUUGCGGUCGAUGGUAUUCCAUCGACCACGCCUGUUUCAGUAUCAAAAAAACCUCAACAAUUUUAAUUGUGUUUUUGGGAGAACUUAACUUUUUUGUUUAGGCUCUCCUUAAUAGUAUUUGGCUCAUGUGGAUUUAUUAUCUGCCUGUUGAAAGCUCUUUUUUAUUUUUUAUUAUUAAAAAGAAAAAAAGAGCAUUUAUAUUUCGCAAGCAACUUUAUAUGAUGAUAAGUAAAUGGAGGCCCCCCUAAAUAAUA